GAUGAACGCUGGCGGCGUGCCAAUACAUGCAAGUCGAGCGAACAGAUGAGGAGCUUGCUCCUCUGACGUUAGCGGCGGACGGGUGAGUAACACGUGGAUAACCUACCUAUAAGACUGGGAUAACUUCGGGAAACCGGAGCUAAUACCGGAUAAUAUAUUGAACCGCAUGGUUCAAUAGUGAAAGACGGUUUUGCUGUCACUUAUAGAUGGAUCCGCGCCGCAUUAGCUAGUUGGUAAGGUAACGGCUUACCAAGGCAACGAUGCGUAGCCGACCUGAGAGGGUGAUCGGCCACACUGGAACUGAGACACGGUCCAGACUCCUACGGGAGGCAGCAGUAGGGAAUCUUCCGCAAUGGGCGAAAGCCUGACGGAGCAACGCCGCGUGAGUGAUGAAGGUCUUCGGAUCGUAAAACUCUGUUAUUAGGGAAGAACAAAUGUGUAAGUAACUAUGCACGUCUUGACGGUACCUAAUCAGAAAGCCACGGCUAACUACGUG
Molecule: ribosomal RNA, 496 nt
Filed under: uncultured bacterium
Lineage: Bacteria
Description: partial 16S ribosomal RNA
Rfam family: Bacterial small subunit ribosomal RNA
Source: RNAcentral